GCACCCCAGCAAACCCUACUCUUCUGUGUCAGUGCUGGGCUAGGGUAAUGAUGGUGCCAUAGUGAUCCAAAGUGUAUCCAGAUGGGCCUCCGCUACAUUGAAGCUUGUCUCUACAACUUUGACACAGUG
This is a small nucleolar RNA of Conger conger (European conger), 129 nucleotides long. RefSeq annotates it as small nucleolar RNA SNORA55. The transcript has a single exon. The record is from RefSeq and is a predicted model, not a curated record. NCBI's taxonomy places the organism in Eukaryota, Metazoa, Chordata, Actinopteri, Anguilliformes, Congridae.